This 462-nucleotide long non-coding RNA is filed under the name Homo sapiens (human). RNAcentral describes it as "HSALNT0312925". The record is from RNAcentral. Lineage: Eukaryota; Metazoa; Chordata; Mammalia; Primates; Hominidae.
GCCAAAGCAAUGUCUUUAACAUAUACCUGCUUUCACUGAAUAGUAACAAUUCUAUCAGUCUGUGGUGAAAGGGAAAAUCUCAAUAUUAAGGACAUAAAUUGACAAUAUUUUCAAUACGAAAGAUGUUCCAUGGAAUAGGGACGCAUUCGUGGGGUUUAUUUAUUUAUUUAUUUAUUUAUUUAUUUUUCGAGACGGAGUCCUGCUCUGUCACCCAGGCUGGAGUGCAGUGGCAGGAUCUAGGCUCACGGAAACCUCCUCCUCCUGAGUUCAAGCAAUUCUCCUGCCGCAGGCUCCCAAGUAGCUCGGAUUACAAGCACCCGCCACCAUACUCGGCGCUAAUUUUUGUAUUUUUAGUAGAGACGGGGGUUUCACCAUGUUGGCCAGGAUGAUUUCGAACUCCCGGCCUCGUGAUCCGCCCGCUUCGGCCUCCCAAAUUGCUGGGAUUACAGGCAUGAGCCACCG